GAUGAACGCUGGCGGCGUGCCUAAUACAUGCAAGUCGAGCGAACGGACGAGAAGCUUGCUUCUCUGAUGUUAGCGGCGGACGGGUGAGUAACACGUGGAUAACCUACCUAUAAGACUGGGAUAACUUCGGGAAACCGGAGCUAAUACCGGAUGAUAUUUUGAACCGCAUGGUUCAAAAGUGAGAGACGGUCUUGCUGUCACUUAUAGAUGGAUCCGCGCUGCAUUAGCUAGUUGGUAAGGUAACGGCUUACUAAGGCAACGAUGCAUAGCCGACCUGAGAGGGUGAUCGGCCACACUGGAACUGAGACACGGUCCAGACUCCUACGGGAGGCAGCAGUAGGGAAUCUUCCGCAAUGGGCGAAAGCCUGACGGAGCAACGCCGCGUGAGUGAUGAAGGUCUUCGGAUCGUAAAACUCUGUUAUUAGGGAAGAACAUAUGUGUAAGUAACUGUGCACAUCUUGACGGUACCUAAUCAGAAAGCCACGGCUAACUACGUG
This 497-nucleotide ribosomal RNA is filed under the name uncultured bacterium. RNAcentral describes it as "partial 16S ribosomal RNA". It matches the Rfam family "Bacterial small subunit ribosomal RNA", at positions 28 to 507 of the family's 1533-position model. The record is from RNAcentral.